This 119-nucleotide ribosomal RNA is filed under the name Spirogyra grevilleana. Lineage: Eukaryota; Viridiplantae; Streptophyta; Zygnematophyceae; Spirogyrales; Spirogyraceae. The record is from RNAcentral.
AGGUACGAUCAUACCCGGGUUACUACGCCGGAUCCCAUCCGAACUCCGCAGCUAAGUCCCCGUGGGCUCGAAUAGUACUGGCUAGGGUGACCCGCCGGGAAGUCCGAGUGUCGUACCUU